RNAcentral lists this ribosomal RNA (255 nucleotides) under uncultured bacterium. RNAcentral describes it as "partial 16S ribosomal RNA". It matches the Rfam family "Bacterial small subunit ribosomal RNA", at positions 524 to 776 of the family's 1533-position model. The record is from RNAcentral.
UACGUAGGGUCCGAGCGUUGUCCGGAAUUACUGGGCGUAAAGAGCUCGUAGGCGGCUUGUCGCGUCGAAUGUGAAAACCCACGGCUCAAUUGUGGGCUUGCAUUCGAUACGGGCAGGCUAGAGUUCGGUAGGGGAGACUGGAAUUCCUGGUGUAGCGGUGAAAUGCGCAGAUAUCAGGAGGAACACCGGUGGCGAAGGCGGGGUCUCUGGGCCCGAUACUGACGCUGAGGAGCGAAAGCGUGGGGAGCGAACAGG